UACGGAGGGGGCUAGCGUUGUUCGGAAUUACUGGGCGUAAAGCGCGCGUAGGCGGACCUGCAAGUCGGGGGUGAAAGCCCGAGGCUCAACCUCGGAGCUGCCUUCGAUACUGCGGGUCUCGAGUCCGGGAGAGGUGAGUGGAAUUCCUAGUGUAGAGGUGGAAUUCGUAGAUAUUAGGAAGAACACCAGUGGCGAAGGCGGCUCACUGGCCCGGUACUGACGCUGAGGCGCGAAAGCGUGGGGAGCAAACAGG
RNAcentral lists this ribosomal RNA (253 nucleotides) under uncultured bacterium. RNAcentral describes it as "partial 16S ribosomal RNA". It matches the Rfam family "Bacterial small subunit ribosomal RNA", at positions 524 to 776 of the family's 1533-position model. The record is from RNAcentral.